AUUGAACGCUGGCGGCAGGCCUAACACAUGCAAGUCGAGCGGAUGAAGGGAGCUUGCUCCUGGAUUCAGCGGCGGCCGGGUGAGUAAUGCCUAGGAAUCUGCCUGGUAGUGGGGGAUAACGUCCGGAAACGGGCGCUAAUACCUCAUACGUCCUGAGGGAGAAAGUGGGGGAUCUUCGUACCUCACGCUAUCAGAUGAGCCUAGGUCGGAUUAGCUAGUUGGUGGGGUAAAGGCCUACCAAGGCGACGAUCCGUAACUGGUCUGAGAGGAUGAUCAGUCACACUGGAACUGAGACACGGUCCAGACUCCUACGGGAGGCAGCAGUGGGGAAUAUUGGACAAUGGGCGAAAGCCUGAUCCAGCCAUGCCGCGUGUGUGAAGAAGGUCUUCGGAUUGUAAAGCACUUUAAGUUGGGAGGAAGGGCAGUAAGUUAAUACCUUGCUGUUUUGACGUUACCAACAGAAUAAGCACCGGCUAACUUCGUG
This 484-nucleotide ribosomal RNA is filed under the name uncultured bacterium. Its description in RNAcentral is "partial 16S ribosomal RNA". It matches the Rfam family "Bacterial small subunit ribosomal RNA", at positions 30 to 507 of the family's 1533-position model. The record is from RNAcentral.